GGGCCAGUGGGUAAAGCUUAAACGCUCGUCUGCUCCAUUCUAAAUGGGCUGUGGUUUGGGGCCUGGCGCUGUGGUCUGGCCUGGCCCCCUUACAGUCGCCAUAGAGACAAUACCUGAGUUGCCUUGCUGAGAGAGAAGAGAGACAGAGGGAAAGAGGCAGAAAGAAUUUCAUACUUAAAGAAUAUGGAAGAAGGUCAUCAGUGGAACUCACAACAGAUCAACAGCCGACAUCAUACUCAACUCUCCUCUGUCCCAGGAAAACCAAAGCCCUCAUAACUCUCCACUUCUCUCUGGUCUGCGGGAAC
Carassius gibelio (silver crucian carp) is the source of this 305-nucleotide long non-coding RNA. RefSeq lists it as uncharacterized. Lineage: Eukaryota; Metazoa; Chordata; Actinopteri; Cypriniformes; Cyprinidae. The record is from RefSeq and is a predicted model, not a curated record. The transcript has 3 exons.